RNAcentral lists this ribosomal RNA (1441 nucleotides) under uncultured organism. Its description in RNAcentral is "SSU rRNA". It matches the Rfam family "Bacterial small subunit ribosomal RNA". The record is from RNAcentral.
UACAGGCUUAACACAUGCAAGUCGAGGGGCAGCAUGGUCUUAGCUUGCUAAGGCCGAUGGCGACCGGCGCACGGGUGAGUAACACGUAUCCAACCUGCCGUCUACUCUUGGACAGCCUUCUGAAAGGAAGAUUAAUACAGGAUGGCAUCAUGAGUCCGCAUGUUCACAUGAUUAAAGGUAUUCCGGUAGACGAUGGGGAUGCGUUCCAUUAGAUAGUAGGCGGGGUAACGGCCCACCUAGUCUUCGAUGGAUAGGGGUUCUGAGAGGAAGGUCCCCCACAUUGGAACUGAGACACGGUCCAAACUCCUACGGGAGGCAGCAGUGAGGAAUAUUGGUCAAUGGGCGAGAGCCUGAACCAGCCAAGUAGCGUGAAGGAUGACUGCCCUAUGGGUUGUAAACUUCUUUUAUAAAGGAAUAAAGUCGGGUAUGGAUACCCGUUUGCAUGUACUUUAUGAAUAAGGAUCGGCUAACUCCGUGCCAGCAGCCGCGGUAAUACGGAGGAUCCGAGCGUUAUCCGGAUUUAUUGGGUUUAAAGGGAGCGUAGAUGGAUGUUUAAGUCAGUUGUGAAAGUUUGCGGCUCAACCGUAAAAUUGCAGUUGAUACUGGAUAUCUUGAGUGCAGUUGAGGCAGGCGGAAUUCGUGGUGUAGCGGUGAAAUGCUUAGAUAUCACGAAGAACUCCGAUUGCGAAGGCAGCCUGCUAAGCUGCAACUGACAUUGAGGCUCGAAAGUGUGGGUAUCAAACAGGAUUAGAUACCCUGGUAGUCCACACGGUAAACGAUGAAUACUCGCUGUUUGCGAUAUACUGCAAGCGGCCAAGCGAAAGCGUUAAGUAUUCCACCUGGGGAGUACGCCGGCAACGGUGAAACUCAAAGGAAUUGACGGGGGCCCGCACAAGCGGAGGAACAUGUGGUUUAAUUCGAUGAUACGCGAGGAACCUUACCCGGGCUUAAAUUGCAGAUGAAUUACGGUGAAAGCCGUAAGCCGCAAGGCAUCUGUGAAGGUGCUGCAUGGUUGUCGUCAGCUCGUGCCGUGAGGUGUCGGCUUAAGUGCCAUAACGAGCGCAACCCUUGUUGUCAGUUACUAACAGGUUCCGCUGAGGACUCUGACAAGACUGCCAUCGUAAGAUGUGAGGAAGGUGGGGAUGACGUCAAAUCAGCACGGCCCUUACGUCCGGGGCUACACACGUGUUACAAUGGGGGGUACAGAGGGCCGCUACCACGCGAGUGGAUGCCAAUCCCAAAAACCUCUCUCAGUUCGGACUGGAGUCUGCAACCCGACUCCACGAAGCUGGAUUCGCUAGUAAUCGCGCAUCAGCCACGGCGCGGUGAAUACGUUCCCGGGCCUUGUACACACCGCCCGUCAAGCCAUGGGAGCCGGUGGUACCUGAAGUGCGUAACCACGAGGAGCGCCCUAGGGUAAAACUGGUGACUGGGGCUAAGU